GACGAACGCUGGCGGCGUGCUUAACACAUGCAAGUCGAACGGAAAGGCCCCUUUGUGGGUACUCGAGUGGCGCACGGGUGAGUAACACGUAAGUAACCUGCCCUUGACUUCGGGAUAACUUCAGGAAACUGGGGCUAAUACCGGAUAGGAAUCCUUGCUGCAUGGUGUGUGUUGGAAAGCUUCGGCGGUUUUGGAUGGACUCGCGGCUUAUCAGCUUGUUGGUGGGGUAGUGGCUUACCAAGGCUUUGACGGGUAGCCGGCCUGAGAGGGCGACCGGCCACAUUGGGACUGAGAUACGGCCCAGACUCCUACGGGAGGCAGCAGUGGGGAAUAUUGCACAAUGGGCGGAAGCCUGAUGCAGCAACGCCGCGUGCGGGAUGACGGCCUUCGGGUUGUAAACCGCUUUCAGCAGGGGCGAAGCUUGUGGUGACGGUACCUGCAGAAGAAGCACCGGCUAACUACGUG
RNAcentral lists this ribosomal RNA (465 nucleotides) under uncultured bacterium. RNAcentral's name for it is "partial 16S ribosomal RNA". It matches the Rfam family "Bacterial small subunit ribosomal RNA", at positions 28 to 507 of the family's 1533-position model. The record is from RNAcentral.